GUAAUGUUUCUUGCUCAAAUGAGUAUUCCAACCGCAGUUAGCUCCAAGAACUGGGACAGAACAGUUUGGUCGUGGUUGCUUUAGCAACUGAAACCUUCUGCUCUCUCUGAUGCUGCUGUCCUGAGAUGCUCAUUUGAGCAAGCAAUGUUAU
Molecule: non-coding RNA, 151 nt
Organism: Eucalyptus grandis
Lineage: Eukaryota; Viridiplantae; Streptophyta; Magnoliopsida; Myrtales; Myrtaceae
Source: Rfam